AGAGAGAGAGAGAGAGAGAAAAAGAGAGGGAGAGAGAGAGGAAGAGAAAAAGGAAGAGAAGUUGAAAAUUAAAUACGUCUUUGAAAGAUCGUGGACGAUAGACGAAUUCGAAUAAAGGACGGACAGAGUUUCCCUUUUUGCCGAUUUAUUUGGAAAAAGAAAAAGUGAACUCAUCUUCGAACGAAGAAACGGAGAAAUAUCAUCGAAUCGAAAACUUUGGAAUCAUCUUACAACCUCAGAAGAUCUUGUAAACGACGAAGGAAAAUAGAGUGCAUGAAAAUUCUUUUCAACGAAAGUUAUUCAACUUAUUUUUUGUCUUUUAGUUUUCUUUUUUAUUCAAUUAUUUUAUUCGUCUCUUACUUGAUUUUUCGUUGUAACGAAAAGUCGAGGAAGAUACAAAAUCGCGGAUAACGAAAAAACACGGGUGUUACAUAGAUUCAAGUGGAAUUGUAACGAUUCCGAGAGAAGUUUGUGCGACUUUACCUGCUGGAGCACGUGGUAUUCGAAUUUAACGGAAACUGCUUUCUCGUUGAUGAAAGAACGAUGAGUUUUUCGAUCGUAAAGAAAAUAAAUGCAAAUUGAAAAACUGGAAAAGAAUAAGAAUGAGAAAAGAAAAGAAAAUAAUCUCAUGAGAGAUGAGGAAAGGGUGUUGAAUCCGAGUCAGUUUGCACAACUCGUUUUCGUGUGGGAAUAAUGAAGGAAACAGUGUGCUGCUAAGAAAGAAGUAAAACAAUAUAUGUAAUGUGCGGUAGUAAUAUCGUAACGUAAACGUGUGGGAGAAAGCUGCACAUCUAUAUUUUCUCGAAGAAAAAAAUAUUCACAACCAGGCGUAUUAUUUUUUCUUGUUGAACGAAGAAAUGGAAAUUAUCCGAACGCGUAUCCGCCGACGGACAGCCACUUGCUUCGACGAACAAAAAUACGACUUGCGAGACGCAGCUUUAUGCUCGCGGAAGGAAUAUGCGUGUUUCUUCGUGUGCGGACGGUAAGAAUAGUUUGAUCGCUAAAUUUCAAACACGGGAUGUCGAAUAGCCUUCAUCGCUUUUAUAUUAACAAUAAGACUACGGUCCUAUGUGAGUUUGAUCGGAGGAUGAGAGUCGAAUAAUUGUCAAAAGUCGAUUAAUCGUGGAAGAGGAUAAGAAGGAUAGAAAGUGAGAGAGAAAGAGAAUAUAGGAGCCGAACGAUACGGCCCUGGUCUCUCGGUGGUUGAUAGGGUAUAAUCAUGCCGAGUUUCAUAUCUCGAAGGGGCCGCGGGAAGAUGGUCCAACAUCUGCCGCUGCAGGGAAUCUCUGCCCACAUGCUGGCCAGCAUACAGACGCACACGUACGCGCUCGCGUACAAGCGCAAAAAGUGACGUAGGUACACGGUGGGACGUCAUGUAAAUUCAUUCGAAACACAUGGCAAGACCCGAGAGCGCGCGGUGUUUCUCUUCUCUGCGAAAGGCUUUUCGAGAAAAGGAAUCUCGAAGAUGGCAGAAAAAGAGACCAUAACUUUGACUUCGACUUUGGUACUCCGACUAUUUCAGGCUGUGUCACGGAUCAAAUAAAUCCUUUUCCUAGUACGCUUCUUUUCUCCAGUUUUGUGUAUUUCUACUCGAGCGGUUAUUCUUUGAAACGAUUGCAGGUUGAAAUUAUUUAAAUAAUUUACUAAAUGGAAAAAUAGCGUCUCUAAUGGAAUAAAAAAGAAAAAGUUUAAUUUUUUAUUUUUAACUUCUCUCUAUUUUCUUUUCUUUCUUUUUUCUUUUUUAACAAUGUAUGUAUCUAUCAAUUUUUAUAUUCGAUAUAAAAACUAAUAGCGAGUUUUGAUAGCAACGCACGAUAUUUCGCCAUUGAAACGUUAAUGACGCCAGAGGGACGUUGAAAAAUGAGACUCGGGGCGAAGUGGAGAAGCGGAUAGGGGGGGGGGUGGACGACGGCGGAGGCCGAGGGGGUGGACGGGCCCGACCGAGAAAAGAGAUACGCUCGCAAAGCGUGCGGAAUUGCAGAACUGCCUUUAAUUAAAGUCAUCAAGCUAGUUGAACAAUUAUCAUUAAUUAUGGACGUCGCUUGGUCACUCACACGAGCCAUCACUGCCGCGAGAGUUGUAUGUAUUAUACACGUACGUAUGUCGGAAACGUUUGACUUUCCUUGCGUGCUUGACUUCGUUCUUAUGUUAAAGAAAGAACAAAAUCUAAAGAGAGGAGAAAGAAGGAGAGAGAAAGACAGAAAAAGAGAAAGAUAAACUGGAACAGAAGGAGAAGCACCGCAAUGGCAAGUCGUAAAAUGCACGAAUUUGACGGAUUUGAAAAUAACUCGCUUCGUCGAAAUCUCGUUGUUCUCCUUCUAAUUUAAAAUUAAAUUUUAAAAAUUAUUUUUUUUUCUCUGUUUCACCCCUCCCCCAUAUGUAUAGAAUCCAUUCGAAAUCGCUUUAAAAAUAGUUAGGACCGUCAACUCUUUGAUAUUCGUAAAAAAGUAAACGACGUACCAUGGUUCCCAUACUUCUUUUUUCUCUUCUCUUAUUUUACUUCUUUACUGAAGAGCGAAGAGGGGGGGGGGAAGAAGAAGAAGAAGAAGAAGAAGAAGAAGAAGAAGAUGAUAGCUAGCUCAGUUUGGUCCGCGAUAAAAACCAAGCGGCAAAAAAGAAAAAAAACGGGUUGCUUCUCUCGGAACGACGUCGAUUUCGAAAUCCAGACAUAGUUGAAAGACAGAGAGAAAAAAAGAGAGAGAGAGAGAGAGAGAGAGAGGAUCGUGUGGCACAAUAAAGAUAACGAUUUACGUUCGACUUUAUCGCUGGGUAGCUGGGGCCAAUGACUCGACGAAUGCGGGGUGAGCUCAUGUCUCGAUUCCGUGAUUUAAGUUCCGUUGUUGCCGCCGAUUCGAGUCAAUCGCUUCGUUUUUACUGAUUUGGACGCAGCUAGCCAUUGAGAGGGCGAGAGCAGCUUUUAAAGAAGCGAUAACAAAGUUCUAAUAAAUUCGAAGCAUUGACUGCAUUGUUUUUUCAAAUUAUAACGUUUCCAUAUCAUAUAUUGUUUCCAUUUUCUUCGAAUAACGGAAAGACCAUGAAGAUUAAAAUAUUUCUUUGUUUUUUUCCUAAUGUCCGUUUUAUUUGAAAUUUCCGAUAAUCACAUAUAUUCCCAUAAGUCGGAAUAACUUUACGGUAACUUCACAAACUACCCUAAAAGCUAUAUUCUAUCUUUCGCAUCUUUUUUGGUUUCUCCCAUUUGACUUGUUUUUUCUCUUUCUCUCUCUCUCUCUCUCUUUCUCUUUCUCUUUCUCUUUCUCUCCCUUCAUUUUUUUCUAGCGAGACAAUGACGUUAAUAACGGUAAUGAUCCUGUUAAGAGUUCUUAGGGCUCAUUCUUAUUAAAAAAAAAUUUAAGACCGGGACGAGUUUACGACUGCGAAUACCGGUAGAACGAGCCGUAUUUCUUCGCGAAAUUUAACGAACCUUCGCGCAAUGGGACACCAUUAAAAAAUUCCAGAGCGUCAUGUAGCACGGCGCACGCAAUGGCGAUAAAAGCUGAAGGAAAGAGAUAGAAAGAGAAAGAGAGAGAAGGAGUGAAAGGAAAUAAGAGGGAGUUGGAUGAGAGAAGGCAGCGGAUUAUGGAAGGCAGAGGAUGAGACUGACGAGAGGUUUAACAUCACGCGAACUUUAGUAAAAACAUUAUCGAUCGGUAAACGUGAUGCGCUCGCGCUGCGUUAAAGUUUGUAUCGUAAAUGGCCGAUCGUAAAAGAUCGAACGCCACGAAAUAAAAUUAUUUCUUAUUUCCGUACAAUGGGAAUACCUUAUAACAAAGGUAUAUUUUGAUUUUCGAUAAUUUCUUAUAUCGUGUGAUUAUUAUCGAAGAUUUUACGACACUAUAAAUUGUAUUUUUCGAGAAAAUAGUCGAAUUUUUUUUCUUUUUCUUCCAAGUAACUUUGUUAAAAAUGACGAUAAAUUUUAAUCGUACUGACCUCUAUUGCUUUUUCAAAGAAGGAUAUAAAUUUUCAAAAUGUUAUGCUCGAUGGAAACAAUAAUUCGCAAUAUCAUAUUCUGAAUUCAGAGAAACUUCUUCUAACUAUACUGUCUCGAAUAGAAAUUUAUAUUAUAAACUAUAGAAUUUAUAAACUUCAUUAAUUAUAACUUUAAGUUCGCAGAAAUUGAAAUAUUUAUUCGUAGAAUCGUAUAUUUUGAUGAAAUAUAUUCCUGGCUAAAGUGUCUUUUAAUUUACGAAGAAAUAUUUGCGGAUGUCUACUAAAAAAUUCAAUCAAAAA
This 4227-nucleotide long non-coding RNA is filed under the name Polistes fuscatus (common paper wasp). Its description in RNAcentral is "uncharacterized LOC122521275". Lineage: Eukaryota; Metazoa; Arthropoda; Insecta; Hymenoptera; Vespidae. The record is from RNAcentral.